AUUCUUCCACCUCAGCCUCCCAAGUAGCUGGGACUACAGGUAGACAUUGUUGAAGGAUACCUCAAAGUACCCAGAAGGACAGGAGGAAUUGCAGAACCUCAGGCUGGAGGGUAUCCCUCAAAACGAGCAAGACACAGCUCUGCGACUGGAUGCAAGCCAAGAUCCUAGAUGACUCAAUUUUUCACUCUAUCAGAUGAAGACAAUACUUGCC
RNAcentral lists this long non-coding RNA (211 nucleotides) under Homo sapiens (human). RNAcentral describes it as "HSALNT0374548". The record is from RNAcentral. Lineage: Eukaryota; Metazoa; Chordata; Mammalia; Primates; Hominidae.